RNAcentral lists this long non-coding RNA (1435 nucleotides) under Mus spicilegus (steppe mouse). Its description in RNAcentral is "lncRNA (ENSMSIG00000011999.1)". Lineage: Eukaryota; Metazoa; Chordata; Mammalia; Rodentia; Muridae. The record is from RNAcentral.
GGAGGCCGAGCUUGUAUUCAGAAUAGUCAGAGGCACAGAACCCAGAGAACAAAAUGCCAGCUUGUUACAGACAGGGCUGCUUGGGGAACAUGGCUUAGGCCGGCAGAGCUGAUCCCUGUGGCGCUGAAAACAGACAUCUAUAAGCCCAGCCCUCCCCUGAAGCUUGUCAGGGCUGUCUUCAGGUGCUUGCCCCGCUUGCAACCCUUCCUCCACUCUUACCAGUCAGCUCCAGCUCUGAUGGAGACCUCCCCUUUCCCAACAGAGGCACAAGCAGCUAUCUGCCCCCCCAACCCCCCCCCCAGGGUGGCGGUGAUCUUUCCUGAGGAAGCUAGUAGAAAUUCAAGUCAGAGAAAGAAAUAUGCUAGUUUUCCUUCCUUUUCAAAAAUCAUUGUAGAAAUGCAAGCCACCUUCAGUGCAGGCUCUCAUCUUAACUAGCAUCAUAUGAUGGUGUGCAUCCCUUCAGCCUCAUGAGUGUUAAACAACAUUGAGGGCAUACUUAAUGAACAAGUUUCUAUUUGGCUUUCUCCAAAUCUCUGUGUGAAGUAUCUGAGCGUGCCCAUGAAGCUGCAUGCAGCACAAAGAGAGGAUUCACGCCUUCUUGGUCAUUGUAGAUUCCCGUGGCUGAGCACCCAUGUUGUGUGCUUAAAAAGAUAUAAUAGUCAUAGGUAAUACUGAUUUGUAGGUAUCAAAGCACAUCAUUUAAUUGCCUCCUUUUCAUAAGUAAGUGCUGCAGUCACUUUAGUGAACCACAUCUUAUAGAAGGGAAGACUGAGGCACAGAGAGAUGACUUAGCACCCCUGCCCCAUACAUGUCUGAAUCUUCACUUAAGCAUGUGAAGAGCAUUUCUCCACUCCGCACGCACUUGAUUGAAACAUUGCAGUUUUCAUCAGACACCGGAGAGACAGCUUUUCUCCUACCCUAGGGAGGAUUAGGAGUCCAUCCUGGAUUGGUCCGUGCCACAGGAAUCCUGAACCAGCAUGGAUCCAAAAUGGUCUUGGGUCUGCUUUCCCUCGGACUGUGUUACCCAUGUCAUGCUCUUACAAACCAGCUGCCAGCAUCUGCCUCCAUCACAGAGGUCAAGCUUUCUCCAAGAUGACUUCCUGCCUGGCAGAACUGUUGUGGAAGAUCAUUCUCUGAUCAAUACGGCUGCUAUCUUCGGGAGGACUGGACCUGCUCACAAGGAAUUAUCAUAGGUGGGCUUUUGAUUCUUGAUAUUCCUUCUCUCAUGGAAAGAAGGGGUGGUGAUGAGGGUUAUGGGAUGGUCACCUGGGUAUCCAGUCUCCUCUCCCAACCAAUUCUGCUCUAAUUGCACGUGGCCUUGAGGUCUCGGGAAGGACUAGAGGAGGGGACCUCAUUUACACUGCCAAGAGUCAUCUCUGUUGGAUACAGACAGUCCAGAGAGGUGCUUUAAGGUCUCCUAUGCUCCUGCCUGUAA